RNAcentral lists this long non-coding RNA (210 nucleotides) under Mytilus galloprovincialis (Mediterranean mussel). The record is from RNAcentral. Lineage: Eukaryota; Metazoa; Mollusca; Bivalvia; Mytilida; Mytilidae.
GCGGGUAUAUUUGGUUAAUUGUGGUAUCAAAUGAAAGCUUGGGGACUUGGGAUCACUUUACAAACCUUGUUGAAAGAUUUAUUUGAAUAAUAAAGAAGUAUUUGAAAUUUUGAUAGAAGGGCACAUUUGACCGGUUGUUCAGAUCAGACGUUCCUGUUUUUGUACUAUCAAACUUCAGGGAACCAGAACGCUCUAAUAUGCGAUUAAAGG